AUGAGGAGAGGGAGGAGUUUAUUGAGGAAAUGUUGUUGCGUAUUUAAGCGAGAGGAAGCAGAGACUGGUCCUUUCUAUCCUGCAGACUCUUGUCUGAAACGGAGCGGAGAUGGUCUGCUUGUAUGCUGUGAUCUAGUGUGCAGUCUGCUGUCACUAGAUGACUGCACACUGCAUUUAUUAUUUUAUUUUGAGGAGGAGAGGAGGAGAACCCAACUGCCAAGGGAUUCGGGCACUCGGGUCCGCUGCCCUGUUCUGGAGCAUUCUCUGGCAACACUGGAUCUCUGGCCGGGGUCCAGUGGACCUGCAGUGAACAGCGCCAGGUCUAUGACCCGCUGACGAAGCACCAGAAAACUAGAAGCAACCAAAACAAACAAACAAGAAAACUGAAGCCGACUACUACCCUUAACCCCAUCCCCCCAAUUCCCCCCCCCCCCCCCUUUGGUCGGCUUCUGGUUGUCUGUUGCUUGGUUGGCAGGCUAUGGGGAUGGCCUGCUGUAAAAACAACCAGUUUUUUAUUUUAUUUUAUUUUAUGAAGGCUGAGCGCAAUUCUUCCCAGAAAAAUCAAUAAAAAUGGAAAAACCUGAAACUGAAACUAAUGUCUGUGUUUUAUUUCAUUCGAGUUAUGGAACACUUUUUAAAGAAUAGCAAGGCAAAGGAGAUAUAUUUUUAAAAAGUCACUGACUUCAAUUUUAUUUCCCAAAAUCUUCUUUUGUGUUUCACAGAAGAAAUAUAUUCAUAAAGGUUUGGAAUGGCAUGGUAACUUUCAAUUUUGGAUGAACUGCUAUCUUCCAAAUUCAUGAACAUUCUUGACGUUCUAACCUCCUUGCUCAGUAAGGACUGAUAAACAGAGACCAGCAGCAGAAUCAAACAUAACUUGCUUAUUUUGUUUCUAAAGUACACAAAACCUGGUGCAGCCAGAAACCCUGCUAAAGAAAAGGCUAAAAUAACAAAGCAAUACAACACAAAACAAUAAGGUCUCGUUUGUUAACAUUAGUUAUUACAUUAGUGAGCUAACAAUAAGCAAUACACUUUUACAGCAUUUAUUAAUAUCUGUUAUGAAUUCAUGUUAGUUUUUAGUGCUUUUACUCAUGUUAGCAGAUACAAUUUUAAAUUACUAAAUGUUAAAAUUAAGAUUAAAUGGUGUAGAAGUAGUCUUUAUUAUUAGUUCAUGCUAACAAUGUACUAAUGAUAACAAAUAUAACUCUAUGUUAAAGUGUUAAACUGAUUAUUAAUACUGAUAGUAUUUGAACUUGAAACAUGUGUUGUCUCAACAAAGGUAAAAGUGAGUUAGAUUCAUUUUAAAAUGCUCAAUAUAAAAUGCUGUGUUAUUCACUAAGAAACAACAAUGAAGGCUUCCUGUAGAGGGAGGGCUGACAGAGAAUCAGAAACUUACUGAGGAAAUGAAACUUAUGAAAACAACAGAUGUUCACAGAUCAGAUGAGGGCGGGAACAGUGUACCAGUAUAAAUUACACACAGACCCACUGAUCUGUCCUUUCCAGAGCCUUCUGCUGCCAGAUCAACAAG
This is a long non-coding RNA of Cyprinus carpio carpio, 1525 nucleotides long. NCBI's taxonomy places the organism in Eukaryota, Metazoa, Chordata, Actinopteri, Cypriniformes, Cyprinidae. The record is from Ensembl.